RNAcentral lists this unclassified non-coding RNA (166 nucleotides) under soil metagenome. RNAcentral's name for it is "partial contains 5.8S ribosomal RNA, internal transcribed spacer 2, and large subunit ribosomal RNA". The record is from RNAcentral.
AACGCACGAGACCUGCGGACCUGCGGAGGGAUCAUUAGUGAACGCCCUCACGGGCUUAUAACUAUUCCAAACCUCUGUGAACCGCGCCCUUCGGGGCUAUUUUACAAACAUGGUGUAAUGAACGUCAUAUAUCAUAACAAAACAAAACUUUCAGCAACGGAUCUCU